This 1235-nucleotide long non-coding RNA is filed under the name Ananas comosus (pineapple). RNAcentral describes it as "long non-coding RNA (ACOM_LNC019488)". Lineage: Eukaryota; Viridiplantae; Streptophyta; Magnoliopsida; Poales; Bromeliaceae. The record is from RNAcentral.
UUUUUCACCUUUGUUCUUACUGGCUAUAACAACCUAACCAGUUAGCAAUAAUAACUCGUUGGGCCAAAAACCACCAACCCAAAAUUCUUAAACCCAGUUAUUAUUACUAAAGUGGAGUCCUCUAAUAUAACCAAUGAUAAGCCCAUUCCUAUCCGAUGUGGGUGUGAUGCCCCAACUUUCCAAGAUGUCACCUAUCCUAAAACUACUCCCGUCCUAGCGUACUUAACUCUUUUAACCUCUUGGGUCUAGCCACCACCCAAAAUUCUUAUGCUGGGUUAAGAGUUUUAGCCCUAUUAUAUCUUAGGGAUAAUUGCCUAUAUACCUCUCAAAACUUCGGAAAUAUCUCAUUUACCCAUACUUUUUUUUCUUUCCAAUAUACCCCUCAUAUGUUUCUCUGUUAUUCCAAAAUACCCCUACUGUUACCACCUGUUAAGUUAACUUGGGUUAAACAUGAGUUAAAUAUCUAUGACAGUUAAGAAAAUUAAAAUAUCAAUUUUACCCUUAACUUAAGGGCAAAUAAGAAAUGUUGGUGACGAUAGAAGGGUAUAUUUGAAAAAACCAAAAGUCAUAAUACUUUUUGUGCCCCUGACUUAAGGGCAAAUAAGAAAAGUCGGUGAUGGUGGAAGGGUAUAUUUGAAAGGGCAAAAUAGUAAUUUUAUACAGAUAAUAGAGUUCAUUAACAGAUUUUAACUCUAUGGGUAUAUUUGAAAUAGGUUGGAACGUAAAAAGGGUUUUUUCACUAUUAGCCUUCUAAGAGAGGUAAAUCAUAAAGUCGGAAACUUUUUAGGGGUAUAUAAGCAAUUGCCCCUAUAUCUUAUAUAUAGGACUAUCUGGGAUCUCACAGUGGGACUAUUGGGGUGUCAUAGACUAGCUCCCCCCCAUUUAGGUCCUGACGUCCUCGUUAGUCCUAAACACACACAGCCCAAGAUAACCAAGCGAUGUGAGAGUUGUCUCGCUAGCCUUGUCAUUCCGACAUUGACUUAGCCUGUUAUCAACCGAUCCUAGCGUAGUCUGUCAUUUCGACUCUAGCUCAGUUAAAACUCAUCUCAUGCUUCCGGUCGGUGAAUUGGUUCUGAUACCAAAUGUAACAACCCGACCAGCUAGUAAUAAUGACUCGUUGGGCCAAAAACCACAACCGCAAAAUACUUAAGCUCAAUUAUUAUUACUAAGGUGGAGUCCUCUUAGAUACAAUCUUGUGAACUAUCAGAACUUGGCUAAUCCUGAUAGUGGAACUA